This 283-nucleotide long non-coding RNA is filed under the name Mytilus galloprovincialis (Mediterranean mussel). Lineage: Eukaryota; Metazoa; Mollusca; Bivalvia; Mytilida; Mytilidae. The record is from RNAcentral.
AUAAUGCAAUAAAAACCAGAUGCUCCGCAGGGCGCAGCUUUAUACGACCGCAGAGGUUGAACCCUGAACGGUUGGGGCAAGUAUGGACACAACAUUCAAGCUGGAUUCAGCUCUAAAUUUGGAUUGUGAUUAAAUAGUUGACACAGCAUAGGUUUCUGACACAGAAUGAAUGUGGUCUAAUGAACUUAAAAAAUUUUUUUGCCUUUGAGCAAUUCACUAUGCUGUUGAAUAUUAAUCCUCUCAAAAAAAUGUUUGAAGAAAUUUUCUUAUUAUUUAUGAAAUC